UACGGGGGGAGCAAGCGUUGUUCGGAUUUACUGGGCGUAAAGGGCGCGUAGGCGGUCGUGACAAGUCACUUGUGAAAUCUCCGGGCUUAACUCGGAACGGUCAAGUGAUACUGUCGGACUAGAGUACAGAAGGGGGCAACUGGAAUUCUCGGUGUAGCGGUGAAAUGCGUAGAUAUCGAGAGGAACACCUGCGGCGAAGGCGGGUUGCUGGGCUGACACUGACGCUGAGGCGCGAAAGCUAGGGGAGCGAACGGG
Molecule: ribosomal RNA, 255 nt
Filed under: uncultured bacterium
Lineage: Bacteria
Description: partial 16S ribosomal RNA
Rfam family: Bacterial small subunit ribosomal RNA
Source: RNAcentral